AGGUGGCAGCAGAAAGAGUGACUCAGCGACUCUGGUUACAAAAGAGCUUUGCAGCCCUAGGCUCUCUAACCGGGACUUGUGGCACCUUGAAGGCUAACCAGUUUAUUGUGGAAAUUAAGCCUGGUAGCACAAACCCCAGAACGUCUCACUCCUCUCGGGAGCAUGUAUCAACAAUAUGCUUUUACUAUGAAAGCACGGCCUUUGGAAGAUAGGCCAAAAGAAUAUACAGCAAAAACUCGUGAAGUAAUUCUGCAAAUAUGAACAAGCCCCUGAAAAUUUGGGGGAAGCUAGUGAUUAAAAUAUGGCCAAAGUGAUAAAGCAAGAGUUCAAAUGAGGAGUUUGAGCUUCAAGAAAAACCUUGCUUAGCUUUAAAACAAAUGGAGAAGAUGAGGAAGCAACAGACAGUUGUUGGGUAAUAUUUCAGAUUUGUGUUUAGACAGUAGGCCACUGAAUAGCUGGUGCUUGAAACAAACAGCAGGAAAAGGUUGUGGCCUUCCUACACUGCUUCUGCACUUCCAGGAGGCAUCUGAUUGGCUAGUGUGAAAAGCAGGAUUCUGGACAAGAUAGGCUUUUCUUCUACACACAACAGGAGACGGGUUUGGGUAUCUGCUGCAAAGACUGCACAGCCCUCAAUUCCACACAACUGCCACGUGGCCAGAUGGAGAAGAUAAACUGCAUGGAAGUUGCAUGGUUUUGUGGGUCUCUCAGGUGGUGGAACAGACAUGCCCAAGAUCUUUCUCAAGCCCCAAAGCAUAGCAUUCAGGAAUCCUCGGAGCGGUUGGGGUUUAAAGAAAUUGCAAAAAGAAAAGACACAAUGCAGUUAUGAAGAACAUGCCUGCAACCCUUUUUCCCUUCAAUGCUAUGAAUUUAUUGACUGCCAGAUUAGACCAGGUUCAAAAAAACAGGACAUACACAUCUGUGACAGAAUGUGGAAUUUAAGAGAGUGCAGAGGUAUGAGAAAGCUGCCUAGACAGGUCUUGAGGCAGGAAUAAAAGAGGAAAAUCCUUCUACAGUUUACUCAUCGGACAUUCCAAUGGCUCAAAACUGAUCUCAAUUGGCUCCCCUUUAUUAUUAUUAUUUCUAUAAUAAUUUUAUUUAUUUAUUUGAUUUUUAUACCGCCCUUCCAAAAUGGCUCAGGGCGGUUUACAAUUAAAACAAAACCUUUGCCAGGAAACCUAGAAAAUUGUACUUUAGUGUGAGAUUUCUAAACACCUUCCUAAAACUACAA
Molecule: long non-coding RNA, 1228 nt
Organism: Hemicordylus capensis (graceful crag lizard)
Lineage: Eukaryota; Metazoa; Chordata; Lepidosauria; Squamata; Cordylidae
Exons: 4
Source: RefSeq, a predicted model, not a curated record